GAAAUGCAUAGAUAUCACGCANANCUCCGAUUGCGAAGGCNGNUUACUAAGCUACAACUGACACUGAANCACGAAAGCGUGGGGAUCAAACAGGAUUAGAUACCCUGGUAGUCCACGCAGUAAACGAUGAUUACUAGCUGUUUGCGAUACACAGUAAGCGUGNACACGCGAGAAGCGUUAAGUAAUCCACCUGGGGAGUACGCCGGCAACGGUGAAACUCAAAGGAAUUGACGGGCGGCCCGCACAAGCGGAGGAACAUGUGGUUUAAUUCGAUGAUACGCGAGGAACCUUACCCGGGUUUGAACGUAGGGAGACAGGAGUGGAAACAUUCUUUUCAGCAAUGACUGCCUACGAGGUGCUGCAUGGUUGUCGUCAGCUCGUGCCGUGAGGUGUCGGCUUAAGGUGCCAUAACGAGCGCAACCCUUAUUUUUCAGUUUACUAACAGGUGAUGCUUGAGGACUCUGAAAGAGACUGCANCGUAG
RNAcentral lists this ribosomal RNA (482 nucleotides) under uncultured bacterium. Its description in RNAcentral is "bacterial SSU rRNA". It matches the Rfam family "Bacterial small subunit ribosomal RNA", at positions 683 to 1159 of the family's 1533-position model. The record is from RNAcentral.